Non-coding RNA from Brachypodium distachyon (stiff brome), 125 nucleotides. Lineage: Eukaryota; Viridiplantae; Streptophyta; Magnoliopsida; Poales; Poaceae. The record is from Rfam.
GGGAGAGUGCGAUGUUGGCACGGUUCAAUCAAAUCGGGUGGUCUCUGCAUGCACUGGCUUGCGAGCAAGCUGCGAUGAUGUUUCGCUCCAUCUGAUUGAGCCGUGCCAAUAUCGCAAGCUUCUUU